This 463-nucleotide ribosomal RNA is filed under the name uncultured bacterium. RNAcentral's name for it is "partial 16S ribosomal RNA". It matches the Rfam family "Bacterial small subunit ribosomal RNA", at positions 28 to 507 of the family's 1533-position model. The record is from RNAcentral.
GAUGAACGCUGACAGAAUGCUUAACACAUGCAAGUCUUUGGCGAAGCUGUGCUUGCACCGCCUAGCCAAGGCGGACGGGUGAGUAACGCGUAAGGAACUUGCCCUGCAGUCAGGGAUAACAGACGGAAACGACUGAUAAGACCUGGUAAAGUCAGGCGGACUCAUGUCUAGCCUGAUGAAAAGAGAUGCUGCAGGAGAGCCUUGCGUCCUAUUAGCUUGUUGGUGGGGUAACGGCCCACCAAGGCGAUGAUAGGUAGCCGGCCUGAGAGGGUGGACGGCCACAAGGGGACUGAGAUACGGCCCUUACUCCUACGGGAGGAAGCAGUGGGGAAUAAUGGACAAAGGGGGCAACCCUGAUGCAGGAAUUCUGUGUGCACGAUGAAGGUUUUCGGAGUGUAAAGUGCUUUCAGCAGGGAAGAAAAAAAUGACGGUACCUGCAGAAGAAGCGACGGCUAAAUACGUG